ACUCACGCAGUGAGCGCAGAGGGAACUAUUCUUUUUGCCUUUUACUAAAGAAUACCGUAUGCGUGCUGCAUUUAGUGGAAUACGCCUAUUUUUGUAUGGGUUCUCAAAUUGAGUUCC
RNAcentral lists this small nuclear RNA (117 nucleotides) under Nicotiana sylvestris (wood tobacco). Its description in RNAcentral is "U5 spliceosomal RNA". It matches the Rfam family "U5 spliceosomal RNA". From Rfam's summary of the family: U5 RNA is a component of both types of known spliceosome. The precise function of this molecule is unknown, though it is known that the 5' loop is required for splice site selection and p220 binding, and that both the 3' stem-loop and the Sm site are important for Sm protein binding and cap methylation. Lineage: Eukaryota; Viridiplantae; Streptophyta; Magnoliopsida; Solanales; Solanaceae. The record is from Rfam by way of RNAcentral. RNAcentral also lists the same sequence under 1 other name.